CAGGGGCUACGGGGCGCAGCAGUAGGGAAUCUUCCACAAUGGGCGAAAGCCUGAUGGAGCAACGCCGCGUGGGUGAAGAAGGUCUUCGGAUCGUAAAACCCUGUUGUUAGAGAAGAAAGUGCGUGAGAGUAACUGUUCACAUUUCGACGGUAUCUAACCAGAAAGCCACGGCUAACUACGUGCCAGCAGCCGCGGUAAUACGUAGGUGGCAAGCGUUAUCCGGAUUUACUGGGCGUAAAGGGAACGCAGGCGGUCUUUUAAGUAUGAUGUGGAAGCCUUCGGCUUUACCGG
Molecule: ribosomal RNA, 291 nt
Filed under: uncultured bacterium
Lineage: Bacteria
Description: partial 16S ribosomal RNA
Rfam family: Bacterial small subunit ribosomal RNA
Source: RNAcentral